GCAGUCGGACGGUCUGUCGCUGGUGUUUCGGCACAAGAGGAAAGUCCGGGCAACGCAGAGCAUCCUACUUCCUAACAGAAAGCUAUCCGCGAGGGUAGAGUAAUGCAGAAGAAAAUAACCGCCGCUCCUACCCGGAGAGGUAAGGGUGAGAAGGUAGGGUAAGAGCCUACCAGCCGCGUGGUGACACGCGGGCUGUGCAUCUUAGGAGUUGUAAGGUCGUGUAAACCGGCAUUAACGAGGGUUGCUCGCCCCACGUCGGAGGGUAGACCGCUAGAGCCUUUUGGUGACAAAGGGCGUAGAUAAAUGACAGACACCUUGUAUUAUAUAAGGAACAGAACCCGGCUUACAGGCCGGCUGCUUUU
Bacteroides sp. CAG:702 is the source of this 362-nucleotide non-coding RNA. The record is from Rfam. Lineage: Bacteria; Pseudomonadati; Bacteroidota; Bacteroidia; Bacteroidales; Bacteroidaceae.